This 436-nucleotide ribosomal RNA is filed under the name uncultured bacterium. RNAcentral describes it as "partial 16S ribosomal RNA". It matches the Rfam family "Bacterial small subunit ribosomal RNA", at positions 29 to 507 of the family's 1533-position model. The record is from RNAcentral.
AGCGAACGCUGGCGGCAGGCUUAACACAUGCAAGUCGAGCGGGCAUCCUUGUGGUGUCAGCGGCAGACGGGUGAGUAACGCGUGGGAACGUGCCCUUCGGUUCGGAAUAACUCAGGGAAACUUGAGCUAAUACCGGAUAAGCCCUUUUGGGGAAAGGUUUACUGCCGAAGGAUCGGCCCGCGUCUGAUUAGCUAGUUGGUGAGGUUAUGGCUCACCGAGGCGACGAUCAGUAGCUGGUCUGAGAGGAUGAUCAGCCACACUGGGACUGAGACACGGCCCAGACUCCUACGGGAGGCAGCAGUGGGGAAUAUUGGACAAUGGGGGCAACCCUGAUCCAGCCAUGCCGCGUGAGUGAUGACGGCCUUAGGGUUGUAAAGCUCUUUUCUCCGGGACGAUAAUGACGGUACCGGAGGAAUAAGCCCCGGCUAACUUCGUG